This 388-nucleotide long non-coding RNA is filed under the name Homo sapiens (human). Its description in RNAcentral is "HSALNT0199562". Lineage: Eukaryota; Metazoa; Chordata; Mammalia; Primates; Hominidae. The record is from RNAcentral.
UUGAAUAAAAUUACACCCACUCUCUUCCAUUAUGGUGAACACUUAAAAUUACAUUUAUAGAAAAUUACAUUUACACAAACUUGUUUAAAAGCCAAAUCCCAGACCUAGGCUAUUGGCCAAAUUCCAUUUAAAGGGGAUAUUAAGUAAAUUAGUUGAGCUGAUUAAAAACACCUUCAUCAAAGUAGAGCAUUGGUGCCAACAAUAUUAAGAGUUGAACUAUUGAUUACAUUUUUUUUUCCACAGCAGAUAAUACAUUAGCAGGGAGGAAAAGUGAUUACUGCUCGCUUCCACUUCACAGGUAGAACUACUGAUGGGGGUGACGCGGUAAGGUGGGAGGGCAUGAAGGCAGGGGACGCGGCCUAGGUCAGGAGGGACGCAGAGGAGAAAG